RNAcentral lists this long non-coding RNA (901 nucleotides) under Triticum aestivum (bread wheat). RNAcentral describes it as "long non-coding RNA (TAES_LNC007287)". The record is from RNAcentral. Lineage: Eukaryota; Viridiplantae; Streptophyta; Magnoliopsida; Poales; Poaceae.
ACUGGCAGUUAUAUUUCCACCAUCACUCCUAGUUGUGACUUCCUACAAGAAAUGAGAACGAAAAUGAUAUUACAGCCUCAUGUCCCUUCCUUGUUUGGCCGUUAUAUUCGACAUGUUCCUUCCCUGAACAAAAGAGAUCAAUAGUGAGCAUUAAAGACCCCUGAAAACUCAAUAGGAUAUACGCCAUGGCAGUAUCUGCCCCGUUUUCAUAUUCAUUCAAUGCACACUACCAAAAUCUAAUAGUAAUCAAACUUGAAUUAAAAUGGUACAUAAAGUUUUUGUAGUUAGAGAUAGGACCAAGUUGGAAUAAUAUAGAGAAAAUCAAACUUUAUCCUAGCAUUACACGGAAGAAACGUGACCCACUUAUCAUAUGAACAGAAACAGACCGAGAAAUUUAUUUACCAUCAGAUGUCGAUCUCUAUAUUUCUGCUUUGCAAAUGAUCCCAAUUUAAAGCUUGAUAUCCCUUGGAAUCUUCACAUUACACUGCAACCUACAAAGCUUAAAUAAGGCCACUAACGUUCAGAGCAUAGCUUAAAGAAUUGUGCAAUUAGCUCAUGAAAGCCCCCUGAUGUAACAUUUUUACCUGGUUGGUGAUGCAUGGUGGUCUACUAUGCGCAAUAAAAUACAACAAGUAAACUAGAUAAUCAUCAUAUUAAGUACUACAUCAUCAAUAGGCUGAUCAUGUUUGCACUGCCAAUUACUACAGACUUACACACGCUCCCUUCAAAUUUCAAGCACUGCUUAGCCAACAAUUCCAGGUUCAAGCAUGAAGUAGUCAAAAUGAAAUAACUCAAAAUAUUUUUAGAAUGUCAACAUAGAAGGAUACCCUUGAGGACUAUGUGAACCUAGAAGACCAGGAAAAAAAGAUUUCAACUUCGCAAUGAUAUAAGGGCAUCUCCA